This 1155-nucleotide ribosomal RNA is filed under the name Enterococcus hirae. Its description in RNAcentral is "bacterial SSU rRNA". It matches the Rfam family "Bacterial small subunit ribosomal RNA", at positions 51 to 1178 of the family's 1533-position model. The record is from RNAcentral. Lineage: Bacteria; Bacillati; Bacillota; Bacilli; Lactobacillales; Enterococcaceae.
AUAAUGUAAGUCGAACGCUUCUUUUUCCACCGGAGCUUGCUCCACCGGAAAAAGAGGAGUGGCGAACGGGUGAGUAACACGUGGGUAACCUGCCCAUCAGAAGGGGAUAACACUUGGAAACAGGUGCUAAUACCGUAUAACAAUCGAAACCGCAUGGUUUUGAUUUGAAAGGCGCUUUCGGGUGUCGCUGAUGGAUGGACCCGCGGUGCAUUAGCUAGUUGGUGAGGUAACGGCUCACCAAGGCGACGAUGCAUAGCCGACCUGAGAGGGUGAUCGGCCACAUUGGGACUGAGACACGGCCCAAACUCCUACGGGAGGCAGCAGUAGGGAAUCUUCGGCAAUGGACGAAAGUCUGACCGAGCAACGCCGCGUGAGUGAAGAAGGUUUUCGGAUCGUAAAACUCUGUUGUUAGAGAAGAACAAGGAUGAGAGUAACUGUUCAUCCCUUGACGGUAUCUAACCAGAAAGCCACGGCUAACUACGUGCCAGCAGCCGCGGUAAUACGUAGGUGGCAAGCGUUGUCCGGAUUUAUUGGGCGUAAAGCGAGCGCAGGCGGUUUCUUAAGUCUGAUGUGAAAGCCCCCGGCUCAACCGGGGAGGGUCAUUGGAAACUGGGAGACUUGAGUGCAGAAGAGGAGAGUGGAAUUCCAUGUGUAGCGGUGAAAUGCGUAGAUAUAUGGAGGAACACCAGUGGCGAAGGCGGCUCUCUGGUCUGUAACUGACGCUGAGGCUCGAAAGCGUGGGGAGCAAACAGGAUUAGAUACCCUGGUAGUCCACGCCGUAAACGAUGAGUGCUAAGUGUUGGAGGGUUUCCGCCCUUCAGUGCUGCAGCUAACGCAUUAAGCACUCCGCCUGGGGAGUACGACCGCAAGGUUGAAACUCAAAGGAAUUGACGGGGGCCCGCACAAGCGGUGGAGCAUGUGGUUUAAUUCGAAGCAACGCGAAGAACCUUACCAGGUCUUGACAUCCUUUGACCACUCUAGAGAUAGAGCUUCCCCUUCGGGGGCAAAGUGACAGGUGGUGCAUGGUUGUCGUCAGCUCGUGUCGUGAGAUGUUGGGUUAAGUCCCGCAACGAGCGCAACCCUUAUUGUUAGUUGCCAUCAUUUAGUUGGGCACUCUAGCAAGACUGCCGGUGACAAACCGGAAGGAAGGUGGGG